AGGCUGUUAGCUCAGUUGGUAGAGCAACUGACUCUUAAUCAGUGGGUCGGGAGUUCGAGUCUCCCACGGCCUA
RNAcentral lists this transfer RNA (73 nucleotides) under Spirochaetota bacterium. RNAcentral's name for it is "Spirochaetes bacterium (groundwater metagenome) tRNA-Lys". It matches the Rfam family "tRNA". Rfam says of the family: Transfer RNA (tRNA) molecules are approximately 80 nucleotides in length. The record is from RNAcentral. Lineage: Bacteria; Pseudomonadati; Spirochaetota.